Molecule: long non-coding RNA, 573 nt
Filed under: Gallus gallus (chicken)
Lineage: Eukaryota; Metazoa; Chordata; Aves; Galliformes; Phasianidae
Source: RNAcentral
AAACAAAAAGACAUUAUUUAUUCAAUGGAACGAGUCAGGUGGUGUACUGUAUCUGAGUGAGAGCCAGAUGGCGUACUCUAGUCCAGAGAGAGCCAGGCGCUGCACUCUCGUCCAAAGAAAGCCUGGCAGCGUGGUGUAUUCUGAGGAGAGCCAGGUAGCCAUGUAUAUGCCAAAAAUAGCCAGGUGACGUGACAUGUUCCAAGCAGUGCCAGCCGGCGUGGUGUAUGCCAACGUGAGCCAGGCAGCGUGGUGAGUCCCAAAGUGAGCCAGGCGGAGUGGUAUGGCGCAAAGGGAGCCAGGCUGCAUGGUAUAUUCUAAAAAGAGCGAGGUGCCGUGGUAUAUUGCCAAAGGAGGCAGGCGGCGUGUUAUAUUCCACAGAAGACCCAGGUGGCGUAGUAUGGUCCAUACAAGAGGCAGGUGGUGUCGUAGAGUCCAUAGCAGUGGCAGGUGCCGUAGGAUCUUCUGUAGAAGUGGCAGGCGCCGUAGGAUCCUGCGUAGCAGUGGCAGGUGACGCAGGAUGCUCCGAAGCAGGCGCAGGCAGCAUAGGAUGUACCACAGAAGUGGCAGGCAGCA